This is a long non-coding RNA of Silurus meridionalis, 2347 nucleotides long. RefSeq lists it as uncharacterized. The transcript is spliced from 3 exons. Lineage: Eukaryota; Metazoa; Chordata; Actinopteri; Siluriformes; Siluridae. The record is from RefSeq and is a predicted model, not a curated record.
CUCAGGUUCCUGUUCGUGGCUGUCAUGAAUAGACCCUUAUGUGACUGUAGCCUGUCCACUUCAAGUAUGCAGACCUGUUGUGCAGGAGGUCAUAGAGGUAAUGAAGACCAAGUGAACAUCAUCUGUAUCAGACUGUCUGCAGCCUGCAUGUGUUCAUAAUAGAGUGGCAAAUGCGGCGUUUAGGACUGAACCGUGUUACCAGCUUAUUAUGGCCAUUAUACAAAUAAAUUGAAAUGACUUGAGAUGUGUGUGAAAUGCAAGUGCAGGAAGGCCGUGAUGUUCCUGUGUGGGUGUUGCAGAGCUCAAACACAUGCCAGCAAUUGUUCUCGCAGCUGCACCUUUAUUGUUAAUGUCAACCAAAGAACAAUGACAGAUGUAACACUGAGCAAGCCUCAGCUGCACCCCACACCUGCUAGUGCUUUUAAGGCACAGUAAAUUCAUACAGCAUCCAUUAGGGGCCAUCUAUAUACAACUGUCGACAACAAUGAAUUCUAACCUUAAAUGAACUGAAUGUGGAGUAGGAUGUUAAAAAAUGCACGUGCUAUGGCUUUGUGGUUUGUGGCCUAAUGUCCACAAACUUUUGUCCAUACAAUGUAGCUAGCAAAGCUAAUACAAAAAACAGACAUUUACUUUUAAAAUGAAAAAUAAAAUGACCAAAGGACCUUUCAAGUUUUGCAAACAUUUGUCUGUCCGCACUAACAACAUGGUGCUAUCUGGAGUUGCAAUAAAUGGAGGUUUUCUCAUCACAGUGCAAACCAAAAAUAAUUUUGCACACCUAAUAUCUAACCUGGCACUCGAUACCUCCACAGUGCAUGAAAAGUAACACUGUAAGAUGCCUUUCUGGGCACUGAGAAAGCUGAUAUUUGUGCGUUCAUAAAAUGGUAGCAGCUGUGAAAGUGGAAUACUUCAAAUGUGCAAUAUAAAUCACAUAGCAUCAAAACAUAAACAUCUGAACUAUAAAAAAAAGAAAAACUACACAGAAUUAACUUAGAUGUGUGUUUUUCCAUUUUAACAUUCGUAAUCAAUUAUAACAGUCAUCGAAUUAUUAUUAGAACAUGCUUCAGUUCAGUGAAGCGUUAGCUCCUCUCUAAUUUCCACCUGACUGUUGGCUCAGGGAUCUUUAGACCAAGAUUUAUUGACGUCACAGUUUAAUAAAAACAUAAGGGAUGUACUGUACGUGACAUAAUUGGAAAACAUAAAAAUGUAUGAAUUAAUAGCUUGUUCUCCUUGUAUUCUUGUUGCCUUCCAACAUGCUAGUCGGUGGAUUUGCUAUACUUUAAAGAGCCCAUUCUAUGACAUUGCUCCUGUUCACAAAUCCACUUUGGCAAGUAUAGGGUAGAAGAAAUUGACCUUAAUGCAAAACCUUCUCCCCUGACAUUAGUACUUGGUUUCACUAAGCUUUUGUGGGACAAUAGACAAAAAUCUCUAAAGCCGUGUUCCAAAAACAGGUGGAAAAACCUUCCUUGAAGUUGUCUACGUAUACUAUUGUCCACACAUUUUUUGGCCAAACAGUCAAUGAAUAAGAUGGAAAUAUGUGUGUACAGUGGACAGACUUUUCCAACAGCAUUAUAUUAUUCUUAGUAAUCCUGAGCUAAGCUCCACCUUCACUUCAACCCAAACCAGGACAAAAACAUGGCUACAUUUUUAUUAGUUUUUUAUUCAUUCAUUCAUUCAUUUUCAGCAAUGUGUCACAGUUGGUUCUUUUGCCAAUGCACAGCCCCAGGGUCCACAGGUUCAAUCCUGAGUCACAUUCCAAGAACGUUCCAGUUGUGUGUGAAUGUGUAUGAAUGAAUGCAUGUGGUGCCUUGUGAUGAGCUGGCAUCCCAACUGGGUGUAUUCCCAGAGAGCGUUUCAGGGCUCCGGAUUUGGCAUGGCCUUUACUGCAAUAAUGUGGUUACUGAAGACAAGAACAAAAAUGUUUAGAAUAAGCCAUUAGACACAGAAUAGAGUUAGCUUGCAAUGAAAUGUAAAGUCAUCAUGCUAGUUUGCUAAUGUUUGCUAACUUUAUGCUACAAGAAUGUGAAAAUCUCUUAUGCAGUAAUUUACAAAAUACAAUAAAAUAAUAUAAUUAUAUUGUAAUGUUAAAAUUGCCUAACCGUUUUAAUUGUUUAGAGUACCUAUAGACCAUGAAAAAAAGAUUAGACAAUUGAAAUAUAAAACUUUCAUAUCAGCUUGUGCCUCUGGCUGUGAACUUGUGCUAACAUUUCUGGCUGCCAAUAGUUGAUCCGCUUCUCAGUGUGGAUUUCAGCUUACAGUGGGGUUUUGUGAGGCUUGUACAGUUACGGGUGCAUGAAAAUAGCAUGGGAAUCUAACCACUACACUUACCUUAGCAAUCUGGAAACGAGUG